GUAAGCGGCGGAAAAGAAACUAAAUAGGAUUCCCUCAGUAAUGGCGAAUGAACAGGGAAGAGCUCAGUAUGGUAAUCGGGGCCCUAGGCCUUGAAUUGUAGUCUUUCGAGGUUGUACCAACGGAGCCGCAGAUGUAAGCCUCUUGGAAAAGAGCAUCGUCGAGGGUGAGAGUCCCGUCUGCCAUCUGCAGUUCUCCGUGUACGGUGCGCCUUCUACGAGUCACGUUCCUCGGGAUUGGAGCGCAAAGUGGGUGGUAAAUUUCAUCUAAAGCUAAAUAUUGGUUCGAGACCGAUAGGAAACAAGUACCAUGAGGGAAAGGUGAAAAGGACUUUGAAAAGAGAGUUAAAAGUGCCUGAAAUCGCUGAAAGGGAACCGAAUGGAACCAGUCCUUCUUGGUGUGAUUGUUGCGUGCUAAGGCGAUGGCUCGUUGCGUCAGCGCAAGCGUCGUAAUGGGUUCUGAGCUCGAUGUGCGUGGUGUUUCUCACCUUGAGUGUCAACGUCGGUUCGGGAUUGAGGAAAACCUCUUCGAGAUUGGUAGUUCUCCUGCGGGAGAAUGACGACUCGGGGCUGGAACUCUUUAUCGGACCGUCCUCAGCGUGCAGAGCUCCUGCGGCGUGACCUCGUUUGGCAGUUGUUGGGGCCUUCGUGCUUCGGUAGCUGUCGGGCUAGCUCCGCGUCGCUGCCUCUGUUCCAAGACGUUGACGAAAUGGUUUCAUCCGACCCGUCUUGA
Molecule: ribosomal RNA, 730 nt
Filed under: Torodinium robustum
Lineage: Eukaryota; Dinophyceae; Torodiniales; Torodiniaceae
Description: LSU rRNA
Rfam family: Eukaryotic large subunit ribosomal RNA
Source: RNAcentral